AAGAUGAAGAUGGGCAGGAGACAAUCCAGUGCCUGUGUUGAUGUAACAGAUGAGAUGCCUGUGCACUGAAAACACCCCAACUGGGCCGGUCUGCGGGAGAAGCGCCAGGGUCCACCGCACACGCUCUUCAUGUCAGACUUAGCUAAAGUUGCCCUAAUCCCUAAUUUCUGUCUGUCUUGGUUUAAACAGAUUGAUUACACCCCUCACAAGCUCCCAGCCCUUUUCACAUUCUUUGAUAUCUAAUUGCCCCUCUUCUCUACAACCUCCUACCCCUUUCCUAUUGCCCCCUCUUUUCCCAGGACAUCCGGAAAGGGAAACCACAAUAACAUUUCACCAGAGACUCAGUCAAUAUUAUUCCUUGACAUCUUCAAAGCAGGACAGAGGAUAUUGGAGCCCAAGCAAGAGAUGGGUGGAGGCUCACAGCUGGUCCUCCAAGUGCGGCAGUCUCCUGCAAGAAGCUACUCCUCCAUGUUACGGUUACAUUUAAUUGCUGACCUCACGUUAAAUUUAUAUUUGUUACGUUUAAGCAUCGUGAUCCCAGCUUUUAUUUACACCACUAGGGGUCCCUGUGUGCAUAAACAAACGGGUCAGUCUGACCAUCACAAGGGUCAGUUGCAGUUUACUUUACAUUUUCCGUUCAGGAUGCAAAGCACAGACUUCUAUAUGGUCUAGAAAUGACCAAAAGGCAAUAACAAGGACAAGCCAAGGCUGGAUUCUCCAUGGCUGCAGGGUGACACACACAAACAUUUUCCACUUUUUCCUACAUGUAUUGGGAUGUUAGACAGGAGUUAC
Molecule: long non-coding RNA, 792 nt
Filed under: Oryzias sinensis (Chinese medaka)
Lineage: Eukaryota; Metazoa; Chordata; Actinopteri; Beloniformes; Adrianichthyidae
Description: lncRNA (ENSOSIG00000015783.1)
Source: RNAcentral